AACUUUAAAACACACCACGUGACGUGGCAUAAGUGGGGUAGCAUGUUAGUGCAUGCUAUCACGUGAAUCUCAACUGACAACUAGCUUAGUUCAAUUUCUGGGAAUUGAUUAGCAGGGAGGUUUCAAAAAUCAGUAAGCAGAAACAAGCUUUGUUGUGCGUUGUGCGCGCGCAGGUGGUGUUUUGAACGAUGAAUCAGAAAUUUGGAGGGGGGAAACAACCCACGGGGACUCCAUCGUUGGCCUGGUCGUGCGUGGUUGUCGUCGUCUCGCUCCUCGCUGGCGCAUCCAUUGUUCACAACACAUACAAGCCUGAUCUUACAUUGCCUCCCGCGGAGAGUGUUGAUGGGGCUAAGCUGAAACAACCAGAUAAAGAAUGAAAUAUUACAUCAAAGUUUGGUUCUGCUGUUUAAAUAUCAGAUGUGGAUGCUCUAAUAAGCAGUGAUGCACCUAAUGGAGCAGAAAAUUUUUGUACUGGAAAAACUGAACCCAUAAAUUUCUUCUUAUAAAUGCUAUGUAUGUGUUCCUUAGACUAAAUAAUUUUUAUAUUUAUCUUUGACUUCA
Corylus avellana is the source of this 561-nucleotide long non-coding RNA. RefSeq lists it as uncharacterized. Lineage: Eukaryota; Viridiplantae; Streptophyta; Magnoliopsida; Fagales; Betulaceae. The record is from RefSeq and is a predicted model, not a curated record.